UCCAGUAAAAGCACUCGCUAGAGUGCAGGAUGCGCUCUAUAGCCUGGACGUCGCCGGUUCGAGUCCAGGCUAUUCCACAGCCGACCGUGGACGGGAGCUCUGAGGGGGCGGCGCUCAAUUGGCCGAGCGUCGUCCGGGGGGAGGGAGGGUUAGGUCGGCCAGGGUGUCCUCGGCUCACCGCGUACCAGCGACCCCUGUAGUCUGGCCCGGCGCCUGCGGGCUUGCCUGCAAGCUGCCCAGAGCUGCGUUGUCCUCCGACGCUGUAGCUCUGAGGCGGCUGCACAGUGAGUCUGCAGAGUGUAAAGAAGCGGGUGGCUGACGGCACACGCUUCGGAGGACAGCGUGUGUUCAUCUUCGCCCCUCCCGAGUCAGCGCAGGGGUGGUAGCGGUGAGCUGAGCCUAAAAAUAAUUGGGCAUUUCAAAUUGGGGAGAAAAUAAUAAAAACUGAUUGGCAACGACUAAAUAAAAAAAAAAAAAAAGAUAAAUAUAUAAAGGGAUCCCUGUACAAAAAGAAAGACACAUUUUAUUACAUCAAACAUAUUAAAGCAAAAAUAAAUGUCAUGUAUUUUUGUACACAUUUCAAACUGGCAGAUCACUUGCAUUUUAAGCUGCCGACAUUACUGCAUAGACACAGAAAUGUUUACUUGCGUGAUAAUGGACCAUUAGUUGUUUAUAGUUAAAGCAUAUUAACUGAAAUUGUAUUGCGUUAAACUGAAAAUAUAUUACCUUAUUGUGCAAUACUGUAUUCUCAUGGAUCUGACUGCCUGAAAGUGACCGGCAUAAGAAAUGUACGGAAUAAAGUUUCAGAUGUACUAGUCAUUUCGGGGGAAAAAUGCAGCUGUCUCUGCAAAACAUUUUAAGCAGUAAAUGCUUAAGAUGAGCAAGCAUACUAAGUUAGUCUUAUCCUUCACAGUACUACAUGAAUCCACUUGAACAGGAUCAUCAUGAAUCUGAUUUGGUACGCUGCAAUCAGGAUCUUAUUUAGUUUGAUUUAGCAGAUGAUCCACCUGUGAUGAUUAACUUCUGGUAUGCUGCAAUCAGGAUUAGCAGGUGUACUAAAUUAAGUCCAAUCAAGUGGACUAAACCUGCUUAAUCCACUAUUAGACCCAUCAAGUGGACUAAAUUUGGUAUGCUCCAAUUGACCCAGGCUGUCUCCCCUUUUUCUACAUGUGGCCAUCCCCCAAUUAGCACCCAAUUGUUGCCAGGCACAGAUUUAACCCCAUCCCUGCCAACCUUACAUUCCCACACACACUAUUUACAUCUGCAGAGCUUUCGCUCUGCCACAAAUCUAUAUUUAUUGUUCAAAUAAAUUUAAUCAACAUGAAUUCAAGGUUAUGUGAAAAGGGUUAGAUUCUCAAAGCUGUGUAAUACAAAUUGUAUUUUUAUGAAGUAAAAAACACUGAAUAAAAUUCAAAAAUAAAUAUUAAAAACAUUCAGACUACUUGCAAACCCCAAUGUCUGAGCUGUUUCUUUCUGGUUUGGAAAAUGUAUUGGGUGUGAUUUUCCUUUCUGAAAAGUAUGCGCUAAUCACAAUUUGUUGUACAUUUGGAGAAUAUAGGACAAAAUGCUUUCCAAGUUCAAACUACUCAAUCCAAUUAGGGACUGUAAUAUUUCCUUCGGUCUCUAGGGAUUCUGAAUAGUCACUGGUCUCCUCCAGCACACAGGGCAGCAAAGCUCAGCAGCACAGUACUAUUACCAGCUCCAUCACUAACUGCGUUGGGGCCAGCAGCUCUGAUUGUAUACAAAGGAACAGCAAUAACUUUUCUUGAUAAACCUUAUAGUGUGUAAGAACAUAUGUUUGACUAUUAAACAUUUUUACAUUGCUGUUUUUAUUUACUUUUAAUUGAUUCACUGAUACCUUACAUCCCUUCUACUCAUUCCCCCUAAAAUAAGAAUGUAAAGCUAAGAAAAGUUUCAGGCAGGAAAACUCUAAAUACUCCUGCAAAAAUGAUCAUUUGAUUCGUAUCAAAAGUCAAGCAGACAUUGGAUUCAUGAGAUAACUCCCACAUCCUUGUCAACCUACAAAUAGUGGCAGCUACUUAUUGUACAUUUAAGCCUACCGCUCUUUCCGGUCUGCUGUGAGUUUACCUCCUGCUCCCCAACCUAAAUCAGAUCUUCCACAUUACCAUAAGAACAUAAGAAAGUUUACAAACGAGAGGAGGCCAUUCGGCCCAUCUUGCUCGUUUGGUUGUUAGUAGCUUAUUGAUCCCAGAAUCUCAUCAAGCAGCUUCUUGAAGGAUCCCAGGGUGUCAGCUUCAACAACAUUACUGGGGAGGUAUUGGUGGUCAAACUGCCUCCCUGCCUAUCUCUCAGCGCUGGUUGGGAGAUGACAAUGAAGAUUUCAAAGCAGCACCCAAAAGGUAAGCAUCAAAACCAAGCAAGUCAAAAUGCAAGGCUCAAUGUACAGAGGUUUCAGACCAAUGGAAUCUACCACAAGUUACUUGUUUUCAUAUUCUUCCGCCUCAACUUUCCUUCACAGGUUUAUUUAUGAAUUCACUAUUGGUGGCACCUUAGGGACAAGUCCUACCACCAAAUAAAUGAUUGAUGUGAUGCACACCCAUUUGUUAUAUAGCCCUCAACUGUUUAGUUUUGAAAGAAACUAACAUUUAUCAAACAUUGAUUUUUAUUUUAAAACAUAUCGGUACAACACUAGGUUAAAGAAAUCUCUGUUUAAUCCAUGUUUUUUUUAUAGUCUUGCACUUACUUGAUCAUGUGGCAGAAGGGGGUCGGUAUGCUGACGAGAGAGUCAUUUGGUUGGGGGGUGGUGCCAUGCAAUGUUUAUUUUAUUUAAUCUCCAGCACAAUUGUGCUGUUUUUUUCUGAUUUUAGCUUGUCCUGGGUGGCUUCUUAUGGUGAGCAGUUUUUAAUAUUGUACUGCAGGUACCUAAAACAGGACUAAUUCCUUCUACUGUGUUCAUUAUGUACAUAUAUUUUUUCAUGCACAAAAUACACACUGUGAAUAAUUACGUAUAUUUGUUAUAUUAAUUUUCAUAUGGCCAUCCAUUUUUAAUAUAUAUUUCAGUAUAAAAGAGCCAAUUUUGUUGUAUUUAAAAUAUAUUUUAUAUGUUUUACCAUAUUUAAACAGACCAUUUAAAAUAGCUUACACAUAUAUUUUAAAUAUAUGGUUCUUCCAUUUGGGAUAUCAUUAACCUGACUAGCCUGCUGUAAAUGAUAUUGAUUAAACAUUUACCCACAGGGAUGUCAAGGGUGUUUAUUAUCCCUUAUACAUAGUUAUUUAUUUAAAUGUAACCUUUAUUUAACCAGGAAAGUCCCAUUGAGAUUAAAAUCUCUUCAAGGGAGAUGUAAAGCGGCACUUUACCCUGGUGAUUGUUUAUUUCUUUAGAUGUAAUUUGCACAUUUAUUAUUAACUUAGUUUAUGUGUUAUUGUAGUUAUAUGUUAAUUUCACUUAAUUGUAUUAUUCAAAUGUUAUUUAUCAUGUUCCUUUUGUUGUGUGCUUUGUUUGUUAAUAUAAAUUGGUUGUCUUUUGCACUGAUUGUCACUGCUAAAACACCCUUCAUCUAAUCAGUCAGUAAUUGAUUUCACAUGCUUUUAAUGAAUAUCAAUUGAUAUUAAUCUCCAAGUAGGUUUAAAAGGCUCACGAUACAGCUAGCGAGCAGACUGCUUUGUGUUGCGGAUCUGAUGCGGCUGUCGCUUUGUUUUUAAGGGCCGAUUGAUUUGAGUAUUGUAAGCUUGCACGAGAGACUUGACUCUCGUGCAAGCUUACAGCUUGACUCCCCUUGAUUGUCUGCACCGAUCUUUCUGAAGCUCGCUCAUAUCUGUGUACUGGGACUUGUAAAUAGACUCUAUAGUCAAUGCAUGGACUUUUGGGAAUGUGACAGAAGUUAAAUGCCUGUUUCUUGUUUUCUUUUGUUGAAAUUAAAUAUUUUAUUUGAUUCUCUUAUCAGAGUUUAGAGGGGGAGGGGAGAGCAUGUCUUAUCUCUUUGAGUGUGUUUUCUGUGUCUGUUUUAUUUGUAUUGUUUUUUUAGCUUUUUUAUAUUCUUUGCUCCCUUGGUGUGUUUGUGCCUUCCCCACCUCUGCUGAUCUUCUGUACCCUACGUUAAAAAUGGUUAACUUGAGCCUACUCUUUGUGUCCUGUCUCUGCAAGAACAGCAUGACGUUUUAACAUCUACUCUCAUGUAAUGGAAAUCAUACUCCAGUGCCAAAUAUAAAGAACCUGAGUGGGUCGGUAAAUUACCCCUGCAAUACAUUUUCACAGUCGUCACCCCUCAAGUCAAUCCUCACCCCUCCUCAAGUCAGUCGUCAACCCUCCUCAAGUCAAUCGUCAGGCAUCAGUCCUCCUCAAGUUUUGUUUUUUUUUUCUGGUAGAGUGAGGGGUUGGACGGAGUCGUCUGAAUCACCCAAUCAAACAAGAGCAAAAAAACUGUCAGUGCUUCCAUUGGAUGAAACAGAUGUUCCUCCAUCCUUUCUUCCUUCUCCACUUUGUGAAGCUCACUUCCCCACCUUAGAGGCCGACAACGUGAUGAAGGUAGGUCAUGGGGACCGCCGGCCAAAAACUUAAACUACAUUUAGUUUUCCAUUCUCCUUCUUAAAUCUAUUCAUUUGCACCCGUGCCAGUCUCCCCUUUCAGAGAGCAAAGCAAAACUUUAGACCCCUGGCCCUCUUUAUCUGUUUAUUUAUUUUAUUCUCUUUUCCAGCGCUUUUGUUCUCCCUGCACAGAUUGCGAGGCUCUCCAUGUGGCCUCGGAGCGUUAGCCGAGUCUGACCUCUCUCAGUUACAUGUCUCAGUAAGCCAGGGAGACCUUAGUUCGUCCUCUAUCCUUAGUUUCCCCUAGUCAAGGGGAAACCCCUAUUCUGUUGCUAAAGUCAGAAAUACUUUAUUCUAGUAGUCCCUUUACGCAGUCCCUUUUGCCUUGUGAAGUGACUACAAGCUACAAGCCCAUAGCCCCUUAAACUCGCCUGCCCGCGGGCCGACAUUCUCGAGAGAAUAUCUCUGGAACCAUAAUAGAUACCUACCUCAAGGCUUGCUGGAAAGUGCAGCUUUAGAGCUUUCCGAUGAUGUAUAACAUGUCCGUAUCAGACGUUCUAAAAUUAAACUACAGCAAAGCGCAACUCAGGCUUGAGUCAUGUGACCUGUCAGAUCCCUAAGUUUUGUUUCUUGCCUAUUACUCGGUGGCUUCAAGAGAUGGCAUUCUGAUUCCAACGUCAUUCGAAAGUGUAGGCUUUGGGCUUUCCAAAGACAUCACACAUGCCCAGAUAUGUAGUUACAGAAACUCACCAUCCAGUACAUUCAAUAGUGCAAUGCUGUAUUGCACAUCAAAUCGGUAGGUGUGUUCAAGUGCCUCUAACUAAAAAUAGGUGGAAACACAUUCAAUAUACCAUAAGAAAGCAGAGGCUUUGGGCUUUCCAAUGAUACCUCAUAUACCAGGAUCAGUUGUUCCUAGAAUAAACUACAAGGUCUAGAAUACAGUGACGCAUUCACUUGUCAGGAGACAGCAGUGUGCAUUGGUGACAGUGCGUCUUGUUCAUUUUGCUUAGCAUAAAUAACAUUAUAAUACAAUUUCCAAAAGUAAAGGAAAGGCACAAAGUAAGGAUUACAAAAAAAAUGAGACAUGGACAAGUGUUUGUUAGGCUAUUUCAGCAAUGAGAACUCUGCAGGCUAACUUGGCGAUGCAAUUGCUGGAGGACCAGAAGUACUUCAGAAAGUUAAGUACUAGGGCUCCCGAGUGGCGCAUCCAGUAAAGGCCCUCCACGUGGAGUGCAGGAUGCGCCCUAUAGCCUGGAGAUUGCAGGUUUGAUUCACUGUGUCACUGCUGACCAUGACCGGGGGUUCCUAGGGGGCGGCUCACAAUUGGCGGAGCGCCGCCCAGGUAGGGAGGGCUUAGGUUGGCAGGGGAAUCCACGGUUCACUGCACACCAUCAACCCCUGUGGCCGAUAGGGUGCCCACAGUUCUGCAGUGGAGCCAUCAGAGGUAAGUAAGUACUGAAGUCUCUUUACCAAUGUAAUGUGAACUACCUUGACUGGCACCGGCACCUGUUUGUCUCGCAUUUCAAAUUACAUCUAGCCUUCUUAGUGUCAAUAAGUACAGUACCCAGAAAACAGUGCAUCAUAGAGUGACCGAGAGGAGAGGAAAAGAAACUUACUGCCCAGGAGCUCCAUGACAUUUUAUUGGAAAGUUCAGAGGGAGAAAGUUCAGGUGAAGAAUUUCUUCCUUCGGAUGAAGAAUUGCCGAUCACAAAGGGGAUUGAUCCAGUUUUGGAUCGACACAGAGAUGCCACAGCACGCUGUCUCACAGCACAACAGGAGUAAUGAGAGAGGUAGAAGGCAGACAGGCAGAAAGCAGAGAAACGCCUCCCAGUCUCCUACAAACAACACCUGCAGCAGUGAUGUGGCCUGGAAAGAUGAAACUGAAACACACACCCUAGUCCCCCCUCACCCUAUGUUUUCACCUGUUAGAAGGCCAGGAAUUCAGAUUGAGCCAGCAGAUAACUACAGUGUGUCAGAUCUCUUCAAACUGUAAUUUUCCAAAAACACAGUGAAGGGGCUAUGUGAGCACACAAACAAGCAGGGAGAAAAGCAAAAACCUAAAGGAAAAAAAUAUCCAUGGAAGCCUGUUGGAUUGGGAGAGUUUUAUGCUUUUGUGGCAGUGGUCAUUUGCAUGGGGCUGGUUAACAUGCCAAAUCUACAAGACUAUUGGUCAACUCAGUCUGACAUGUAUGGAUCACCAUUCUCCAAACAAACCCUCAACUGAUGACAAUAUUGGCAUGACAAUAACUGAGGUCCUUUUUACUUGUGGGACACUUUUUUUACUAAAAUGUACAUAGUUCUGUUUAUUUUUUUAUAAAUUGUUGUUUUUGUUUGGAAACGAAAAUGAAAAUAUGUGUCAAGGUUCCCAAUGCCAUAACUUUGUUAUUGUUUGUCUGUUUCUUACUAAAUUUGGCACUUAUGUGCAGAAGCAAUAAAAGUUUCAUUUUGCACUAUAAUUUUGUCCUUGAGGUCUUUGUUCUCAGUGAGUAACAAAAUAAAUGAUAAUUUUUUGUUAUGCAUUUUUGUUUUGGGGGUAGUUUUAUAAUAUAUAUCAAUAACUGUGUGUUUGUCAGUGAAGAAAGAGAAUUGUGUGGCCUUUCAUUUGACGUGUGUUACAUGCUUGUAAUCCUUACAGAACAGGAGUUAGAAGGGAUAAAAUACAAAUAGGUUAAAUUAGAUUAGUUGUUUUUUCUCUGGUUUGGUAACUUUAUUAGGUGUAUUUUCCUGUCUUAUUCUAAUGUCAAUUUGGAGUAUAGAGCUUGGAGAAUCUAGACUGAAGUAUCACAAACUUUAUGGAAUAAAGUUUUAAGGAAUGUUUUUAAAUAGUGUUUAUAAACAAUGUUUUAAAAAAAUGAUAACUAAUUAACCCUCACUAAAACAGCUGUUUUGUGUGUCGGGCCCUGAAAAGCCUUAUUUGCAAAAAAAAUUCAGGGAUGGGAUAUAAAUGCCAAUAUUCUAAUAACUGGAAUCUAGAAGACAAGGACAGCCUUCUGAAGUGGAUGCAAUCAGCUGGAGAAAAGCUGACUAUCAGUUGAAAGUUGAAAAACUUUCUGAGUUUCAGUUAGUAAAUCCCUAUGCUUGUCUUGCUGCAGAUUUUAGAAAAUGGUUCUAAAAUGCACCACUUGCCACCAGCUUCUUCAAAUAUGUUAUUGGGAGUCUUGGCAAAAUUCUGUUUCAAAGCGUUUUUCAAAAAUGUCUGCUUUAGUGCACUGGGGUUUGAGAUCUGUCCUCUAAAUCACUGCAGAAAGAGUGAUGUAAAGAAAACGAAAACAAACAAGUGCUCUGGUUUUUCUGUUCCGUACCACAUCAUGGAUCGUUAGUGCUGUUUUACUUUUUUGACAAUGUGGGCAAUAAUCGUUACAAUAUCAGUGCACUGGAGCGGAUAUUUCAAAAAGAGCUUCGAAACAGACUUUAAAAUAAGUGUAAAAAGUUGUUAGGAUGUAAGUUCUUUACAGAAUUGUCAGGCGCUAUAGAUGGAAGGAUGGGUUUUAGCUUCAAGUUCAACAAAAACAAAAGCUGCCUACUGCACACCGCGUUUAGAUUGUGUCAAAGAGGUACUGUCGUGUUGUGCAGGGUCAUACAGUUUUCAUGAACAUGCCUUCGUUUCACAUUUUUUGGAGCAUCACAAGAGCACCAUCUUUUGGUAGAGGACAUUUUAUAUUUUAUUAUAUUUCCAUCAACAGAUACACACUGUACUGUUAGGAGCAGAUAAGUUCCCUGCCAAAAGAGAACUAAGAAGAAAAGCUGAAGUGAACUUGUGAACCUGCAGUUCUGAAGAAAAUAUUGCUGAACGCAGUGUUGUAAUAAUAUAUUUAUAAAUGUAUGCUUACAUGUGCAUUUUUUGCUUGCUUAUUUUGUUUUUGGAUUUACAUUUAUUGUCAGUUAAAGUAUUUGAAGGUAGUCUUAAUUAAGCAAUAGAACCCAAAGAGGGCUUUACUGUCUGGUUAGGCCCAAGUCAAAGACGGAUGGUAAAGCCCU
Acipenser ruthenus (sterlet) is the source of this 8463-nucleotide long non-coding RNA. RefSeq lists it as uncharacterized. The record is from RefSeq and is a predicted model, not a curated record. The transcript is spliced from 3 exons. Lineage: Eukaryota; Metazoa; Chordata; Actinopteri; Acipenseriformes; Acipenseridae.